Molecule: long non-coding RNA, 437 nt
Filed under: Gossypium barbadense (sea-island cotton)
Lineage: Eukaryota; Viridiplantae; Streptophyta; Magnoliopsida; Malvales; Malvaceae
Description: long non-coding RNA (GBAR_LNC019858)
Source: RNAcentral
CCAACGUCGUUUAAAUUUUACUGACGUGGAAGCAUUGGUCAAUCGCACGCCGCCAUGUGUCGCAAUCUGGAAACCCCAUUUGACCCAUUUUUUUAUUCUGCUGAAUAUUUUUUCCUUUAAAGUUAUAUUUCAUUAAUUUUCCAUCAUUUUUCACCAUUUUCUUCAACAUUUCUUUUUCUUUUAUUUUCUCUUUGUAUCGUCUACUCUGCCAUUUUCUUUUCUUUUCUUUUUUCAACAAAUUUCAACAUCUUGCAUCUUGCAUCUCUCUUUUUUUCCAGCUUUGGUCAUCUCUUAAAUUUUCCCCUCUUUCUUUUCUCUUUUUUUCUUUCCUCUUCUUCAUUUUCCAUUUCCUUCAAGUCUUCACCAUGUCUUCUUCUGCGAACAGAAAAUCAAGUGCAUAGAAAAGUAUUGUGUACUGCCAAUGCAGUUUAAGGGCA